Long non-coding RNA from Perca fluviatilis (European perch), 1421 nucleotides. RefSeq lists it as uncharacterized. The transcript is spliced from 2 exons. The record is from RefSeq and is a predicted model, not a curated record. NCBI's taxonomy places the organism in Eukaryota, Metazoa, Chordata, Actinopteri, Perciformes, Percidae.
GAUUUAUCCCAGUGGCUUCAGGUGUCCUCCUCACUGAAAGACUCAGAGGUGUCACUGCUUUUGCACAGCAUUGUAUUUCUCUCUGCCAACUACCCGAAAGGUGCCAGCCGACACUGACAGGAAGCCUGAAGCCAUCUGCUUUUGCGAUUAUGCUCUUCUUCGCCGCACUGGGCAGCACAACUUCCUAAGAGUUGUCAACAUCUCCCUUCCCCCCCCGCAAAUGAAAACAUUUUAAACUGUUCUUGGCAUGAUUUUGAGCUGGUUUGCAGUUAAGAAAAAGAAGCUGUUAAUUAUAUACACCUUUGGAACUGUUCUGUUUUCCAAGUACACACCAAGGUAACAGGAUUUUUUGGGGGAAAAAUAGGAUGAAUCUAGUGUCUUUAUCUGGGGAGUGGUAUGGGAUUCCUCUUAAUGAAUGCACAGUAAGACUAAAAAGUCUUGCUUAGUGAAGUUCUCAUGUAAUUCAGACCCUAAAGAGGGACUUAAAUUGAUUUUGAUGCUGUAUAUCUAGUGAUGUUGAUGUAAUAUGAAUACCUGUUGCUGUAUUUUAAGCUUGUUACCACUGUUAAGCUCAGGCAAGCCUGAGCAUUUGUUUACUUCUGAGCUAAUGCACCAUUACACACCUAUAAAGACAAGCAGGGAAACAAAGAGGAUAUUAUUAAGUAAAAGUUCAGCAGCACUUUGUGUGCUGUUCAUAUUUUACUUGUGGAAUGGUAAAAUAGUUUGGACUCAUUCCACUUAUAAAAAUAUAAUCGCUUUUAUGUGGGCGUGUUAAAUGUUUUUACAUGUACACAUCAAACACGUGCUGUAGCUUCUCAUACAUUUACCUCACUUUAUGCUCUGUUCGUACUUCUUUACAAUGAAUAAAGCUGGCCAAAGGGGAAUUUUGUUGCAACUGUCUUGAGGGGAGAAACGACAAAUAUGGAAGAAAUGGUCGAUAUGAAAAAUCAGUAAAUUACACAAGGCACCUUCUACAAGCAAAGACUAAGUUUAAGGAUCCUAUAUAGAGAUUGAAAAAAAAGCCCAAUUGUUAUAUUUGCAAUUGCAAAGACAUUCAAGCCUGCAUUUACAAGCGGUCUGAAAAGAGAUGUGAUGGCACUUUACUUACCACACUUGUGCACAGAGUUUUUUUUUUGUUUUUUUUACUAUUUCAGGGAGGCAGUACAAAGUGGAACUGCACAUCCCCUGCGCUGUUGUAAAGUGUGAAAAAUGACAGGUCAUCUCCUUCCUGUGCUAUUUUGCAAGAAGUGGCGCAAUUCCUCUGAAAUAUGAGUUGCAAAAGUUCUUUUCUGUUCAAGUUUUUUAAUUUUUUAAAUAUAUAUUAUUUACUCAACAGGUUUUGAAUGUUAUGUUGCCGAGUCAAUAUUAUAUACAUGGUACUGUAAUGGAACUGUGUCUGAAAUAAAUACCUUUUGGGUGCA